RNAcentral lists this ribosomal RNA (253 nucleotides) under uncultured bacterium. Its description in RNAcentral is "partial 16S ribosomal RNA". It matches the Rfam family "Bacterial small subunit ribosomal RNA", at positions 524 to 776 of the family's 1533-position model. The record is from RNAcentral.
UACGUAGGUAGCAAGCGUUGUUCGGAAUUAUUGGGCGUAAAGAGUGUGUAGGUGGUGUCGUAAGUUUGGUGUGAAAUCUCCCGGCUUAACUGGGAGGGUGCGCCGAAGACUGCGAUGCUGGAGUAUGGGAGAGGAAAGCGGAAUUCCUGGUGUAGCGGUGAAAUGCGUAGAUAUCAGGAGGAACACCUGCGGUGUAGACGACUUUCUGGACAAUUACUGACACUGAGGCACGAAAGCGUGGGUAGCAAACAGG